RNAcentral lists this unclassified non-coding RNA (23 nucleotides) under Mus musculus (house mouse). RNAcentral's name for it is "oocyte_clustered_small_RNA205". Lineage: Eukaryota; Metazoa; Chordata; Mammalia; Rodentia; Muridae. The record is from RNAcentral.
UACUCAGCUGAGGCUCCCGAGGC